RNAcentral lists this ribosomal RNA (169 nucleotides) under Herpotrichiellaceae sp. RNAcentral describes it as "partial small subunit ribosomal RNA". The stretch from base 55 to 169 matches the Rfam family "Eukaryotic small subunit ribosomal RNA", at positions 1667 to 1779 of the family's 1831-position model. Lineage: Eukaryota; Fungi; Ascomycota; Eurotiomycetes; Chaetothyriales; Herpotrichiellaceae. The record is from RNAcentral.
GGUUAAAGUUAUAGCCGGUCUCACCUAUUAGUAGGUGAGGAAAAACGUUGUACACACCGCCCGUCGCUACUACCGAUUGAAUGGCUCAGUGAGGCCUUGGGACUGGCUCAGAGAGGUCGGCAACGACCACUCAGAGCCGGAAACUUGGUCAAACUUGGUCAUUUAGAGG